Molecule: transfer RNA, 62 nt
Filed under: Microscolex phosphoreus
Lineage: Eukaryota; Metazoa; Annelida; Clitellata; Crassiclitellata; Megascolecidae
Description: partial tRNA-Ser
Source: RNAcentral
AGCCUGAAGUUUUGGAAACCCUAGAUUUUGAACAUCUAUACAAACGUUCGACUCGUUAUCAG